CACGUAGGGCGCAAGCGUUGUCCGGAAUUAUUGGGCGUAAAGAGCUCGUAGGUGGUUUGUCACGUCGGAUGUGAAAACCCGGGGCUUAACCCCGGGCCUGCAUUCGAUACGGGCUGACUAGAGUUCGGCAGGGGAGACUGGAAUUCCUGGUGUAGCGGUGAAAUGACGCAGAUAUCAGGAGGAACACCGGUGGCGAAGGCGGGUCUCUGGGCCGAUACUGACGCUGGAGGAGCGAAAGCGUGGGGAGCGAACAGG
RNAcentral lists this ribosomal RNA (255 nucleotides) under uncultured bacterium. RNAcentral describes it as "partial 16S ribosomal RNA". It matches the Rfam family "Bacterial small subunit ribosomal RNA", at positions 524 to 776 of the family's 1533-position model. The record is from RNAcentral.